UCUCAGUACGGCGAGUGAACAGGGAAAAGCCCAGCACCGAAGCCUGUGGCCAUUUGGUUACUAGGCAAUGUGGUGUUUAGGUCGUUCCACAGAGGUUCUGCUCCACCCUAAGUCCAUCAAUGAGUACGGUAGUAUGGACAUGGCCCGCAGAGGGUGAAAGGCCCGUGGGGGUGGAGACAUAAUGGCCAGAGCCUCUCUGGGUAGACCUUGGAGUCGGGUUGUUUGUGAAUGCAGCCCAAAGUGGGUGGUAAACUCCAUCCAAGGCUAAAUACUUGCACGAGUCCGAUAGCGAACAAGUACCGUGAGGGAAAGUUGAAAAGUACUUUGAAGAGAGAGUAAACAGUGCGUGAAACCGCUCAGAGGUAAACGGGUGGAGUUGAACUGCAAGCUUUGAGAAUUCAGCUGGUGAGUAUGGUUUGAGCUGGGUUAAUUGGUGAACUCCGGAGUCUGCGUAUUAGCAGGUCUUCAUCUUCGGAUGGAGAUGCGCGGUGCACUCAUCAAGUGUUGUGCGCUCCGGUUUUUAUACCACCUGCUCGUCAGUGCACUUUCUCAAAGUAGUCACCUCGAUCGGCAUUGCUGUCCGGCGAACACGGUUAAACCUUUUUUGCAUUGUCUUGACCGGCUUUGUAAAAUCGGGAAGGCAGGUAGCUCGUUGGCUUGCUUGUAGCUCGCUACAGGCGUUCGGUCUUCGAGUGUAUGCUGACCGUACUAGCAUUGUGCAGUAUGUCGGAGACGGCGGCUUGUGGUGUGUGCAUGUGUAAUCAUUUGCUGACUUGUCCGGGUUUGGGUAUUUAGUUGCCUGUAAAAGCAGGCCUGGUGAUGGCCCGGGUGUGUUCGGUGGAUGUUUGCAUGUGUUUCACUAGUCCAAGGGCCAAUAGUCUGAGGGGUAGGGGGAGACUUUCCACCUGACCCGUCUUGAACACG
Molecule: ribosomal RNA, 924 nt
Filed under: Orientocreadium sp. HS1-1
Lineage: Eukaryota; Metazoa; Platyhelminthes; Trematoda; Plagiorchiida; Orientocreadiidae
Description: partial large subunit ribosomal RNA
Rfam family: Eukaryotic large subunit ribosomal RNA
Source: RNAcentral